This is a long non-coding RNA of Tympanuchus pallidicinctus (lesser prairie-chicken), 3041 nucleotides long. RefSeq lists it as uncharacterized. The transcript has 2 exons. Lineage: Eukaryota; Metazoa; Chordata; Aves; Galliformes; Phasianidae. The record is from RefSeq and is a predicted model, not a curated record.
UUGGUGCAUGCUUAUUUUCUAAUGCUUCUUUGUCCAUUUAGGAAAAAUCAAAUCUGUGUUGUUGCAAAAUGCUAGUAAAAUGAAUGAGCUGGAAAAAAGGAAAGAAUUGUUAUUGAGUUGGUAGUGCCGGCAAUGAAGAAUAAAUAUUACUAUUAAAAUUUCUAGCAACAUGUUUUGUAUUAUGAGGAAGAUGCUGUAGGAGUCCUUUUGCACAAAAUAAGGUAUUGAUAGAUAGGAGGAGAUAGGAAUGAUUUGUGUCCAGUGGUUCUGACCUGCUGAACUUAUCUGAACAGGGACUUCAGAACCAAUAGCCAGAGAGGGAAGACAAGGACAGUCCUCUGCUUCUUCCCCAUCUUUUCCACUGAUAUUUCUAAUCUUAUGCUAGACAGAGGAUGGGAAGGUCUUCCUACAGGGUGUAGUCCUGCAAAUACGAAACUCUUGCACUUGGUGCAUCAGCUGUACUCCCACUGUUUGUCAUUCACCAAAAGGCAGGAGAGUCUCAGCAGAGUGAAAAUAACCAACGAUGGCAAUUGCUGCAGGAGUGCCUGGAAAAAAGCUUCCUUUUAAAUCUAAAGAUAAAUCUCAAGAAAGGGAAGGGGAGGGAAAGGAAAGCUGAUCACAAGAUAUACAGCAGAUAGGUACCUGAGAAAAGAAAAGAAACUUCCCUGCACAAGGGGAGAGUCAAUGGCAGGAGAUAGCUGAGCUGUAGAAGACCUUCCAGCUUCUUUUAUCUUAUUUCUGCAUUCUGUGCUCUCCCUUAAUUCUCCCUCUUGCUGAUUUCAGAGCUCACCUUGGACAGCUGAAACAUGCUGCCCACCACAGAAAGGGCCAUCAUAAUUUUUUGAUUGAUUUGCUCACAGCACAAAAUUGCAGCUUGGCCGUGGCAGGAGUGACCUGGUCUGCUUGGAAAAUGUUAAUUGAAAAUGAGAGGUUUAAAGCAGCACAGAAUAAUAUUUGUAAUAUUGAAUUGUUCUUUUAAAAACCAAACAACCCAAAAGGAGCCAUUGUGCCAAGCACAGCUGUAUAGUGCCAUUAUGCACUGUUGGGACUACUUAAUGAGAUGAAAAGAGAAAUGAAAUGGUCACAAUUUCAAGAAAAAAAGCCCCCUGAGGCAAAACUGAACAGCAUGACUGAGUCUGUGGAUUGCAAAGCACUUGCAAUGUCUGCUGUCUUCAGCGUAAUCUCUGAUGAUAAGGAAGUUAUCUGCUUGUGACACAUAGCUGUUGCCUGGAUUACAUUUUCAGGCCCAUGUAAUAAUUUCUGCCCUUCCAACAGUCCUUUUUCCUGCUAAUUCUGCUGUUCAUGUGAUGCAGUGGCACUUCUGAAAUUGCCAACCAUAAUAUGGAGCGUGGGAGAGUACACACCAGUUUAAUAGGCUUGAGUGGCUAGAAUGGUGCCAUUUCUAAUUGUGCAGACAAAGCUGGUUCCACUGGGUAUAUGAAUGACCUGCAUCUCUAAAAUCAAAUGCACAAGUUCAGUAAAGGAAAAGUUUCUUCUGGCUAUAAAAUGUGAGGCUAAGUCUUCGUGUGUAACUAGUAACAGUGUAUAUUCAAUGCCGUCCUUUCCUUCUGCUCUCAUCUAUUUCUAUUCUUAGUUUUUGAAAUAGCUCAACAGACUUUUGUUUUGCUUAUCUGUUAAUGGUACCAGGCUUUCUGAUAACUCUUUGGCCUCAAAUCUCUGUAUAUUUUUGGGGAAAAAAAGGAGAAGAUUGAAGAGAAAUAGCAUGAGCCAUUAAACAGUGUCUUAAACAGCUGUUAAGAUUUUUUAGAACCAAUCAGCUCAACUUUAAGACUAGACAAAGAGCAGAUUGUUCCAUCUAAUGAUUGCUGAUGUAUGACAAAAUUUUGCAUGUAAGAUUUCUCCAAGGGAAAAGUGCAAAAGAGCUUGAACUUCGACAUGUGUAAUUUUGCAACAUUAAUGUUGCUUCAACAGUUAUUAAACCAGCACCUCUUAAACCAGAAUUUUGACGCUAGAUGUACUUUUCAACAGGCAUAUCAAGCUGUUUCAUUAGCAUGAUAUCAAAGCAAUUAUGCAAAAAAGAUUUUUUAAUGGGAGCUCUUAUUGCAUUCCUGUUUAUGCAUGUACCAAUUAAUAGAAAUAAAAGAAUAGUUUACAAAUGUAUUCAAGUAUUAGCAUUUUAAUGUUUUAUGUUCCCAUGUGUUAUCUAUUUAUGUUUAUUUUUGCCAUUCUGUACAGUGAAUAUGAGCAUAAUCAAACUCACAGAACAUUGUGAAGUGUUAAGUUGUGGGUAAUUUCAGGAAAUAAAAAUACUCUCCCUGGGCUUUCAAAACAAUUUUAGUAGUGCUUUAAUGGACUUGGUGUAGUGAAAUAGAUAGUAGAAUGGAUUGGAUACAGAUAAAAUUGCUGAUUCUGCAAGAAGAGAAUAGAAUUGAAACGUUUGGCUCUUGUUAGAAAAUUCUUUGCAGUGUUUUAGUCCUUUAUAUUCAUUGAUUUUUCCUGUUUGAAUAUAGCCCAGGAAUGCAUGUAGAUCUGUCCCAGUUUUGGGAAACAAACAGAUCUUUAUAUAGCAUAUAGAUUUUUGCCAUCUAAACAUUCAGAAGACUGGAUAUAAAUCAUGUCUUUUGACUUCUGAAAAAUAACAUCAGAAAGUAGGCAAUUCUAUUAUAGUCAAUGGAUAGGUGAUGGCGUAUCUACAGGAUGAUUCUGUUUUACCUCUACAGGUUUCUAUUUGAGAAUGAGAUGACUUGUUCCGUAGAAAUGCCCAUGACUAUAAAAGUCUUUAGUUCUGAAAUGGUAAACAUUCAAGUUUGAAGCUCAAAUGAAUGUAAAAAUAGCAAUAAUGGCACUGCCAUAUGCUUUGACAGAAUAUUCACUCAGUAUAUGUGAUUACGGGCUUCUUGAAUGCCUGUCAGUCUCUAAGUUCUGAGUAGAAAUACAUGUGAGUGUGUUCUACAGUGUUUCAAAAGAAGUGAAAAGAUGAUAAAAAAUUCUCUAAUCUGAAUUAAAAUUCUUGCCCCUCUGCCAUCAGGGACUUUCAUUAGAUAUAAAAAAAAGGGAAAAUAAAAAAGACAAAUCAAUAA